RNAcentral lists this ribosomal RNA (497 nucleotides) under uncultured bacterium. RNAcentral's name for it is "partial 16S ribosomal RNA". It matches the Rfam family "Bacterial small subunit ribosomal RNA", at positions 28 to 507 of the family's 1533-position model. The record is from RNAcentral.
GACGAACGCUGGCGGCGUGCCUAAUACAUGCAAGUAGAACGCUGAAGAGAGGAGCUUGCUCUUCUUGGAUGAGUUGCGAACGGGUGAGUAACGCGUAGGUAACCUGCCUUGUAGCGGGGGAUAACUAUUGGAAACGAUAGCUAAUACCGCAUAACAAUGGAUGACACAUGUCAUUUAUUUGCAAGGGGCAAUUGCUCCACUACAAGAUGGACCUGCGUUGUAUUAGCUAGUAGGUGAGGUAACGGCUCACCUAGGCGACGAUACAUAGCCGACCUGAGAGGGUGAUCGGCCACACUGGGACUGAGACACGGCCCAGACUCCUACGGGAGGCAGCAGUAGGGAAUCUUCGGCAAUGGGGGCAACCCUGACCGAGCAACGCCGCGUGAGUGAAGAAGGUUUUCGGAUCGUAAAGCUCUGUUGUAAGUCAAGAACGAGUGUGAGAGUGGAAAGUUCACACUGUGACGGUAGCUUACCAGAAAGGGACGGCUAACUACGUG